This 495-nucleotide ribosomal RNA is filed under the name uncultured bacterium. Its description in RNAcentral is "partial 16S ribosomal RNA". It matches the Rfam family "Bacterial small subunit ribosomal RNA", at positions 28 to 505 of the family's 1533-position model. The record is from RNAcentral.
GAUGAACGCUGGCGGCGUGCCUAAUACAUGCAAGUCGAGCGAACAGACGAGGAGCUUGCUCCUCUGACGUUAGCGGCGGACGGGUGAGUAACACGUGGAUAACCUACCUAUAAGACUGGGAUAACUUCGGGAAACCGGAGCUAAUACCGGAUAAUAUAUUGAACCGCAUGGUUCAAUAGUGAAAGACGGUUUUGCUGUCACUUAUAGAUGGAUCCGCGCCGCAUUAGCUAGUUGGUAAGGUAACGGCUUACCAAGGCAACGAUGCGUAGCCGACCUGAGAGGGUGAUCGGACACACUGGAACAGAGACACGGUCCAGACUCCUACGGGAGGCAGCAGUAGGGAAUCUGCCGCAAUGGGCGAAAGCUUGACGGAGCAACGCCGCGUGAGUGAUGAAGGUCUUCGGAUCGUAAAACUCUGUUAUUAGGGAAGAACAAAUGUGUAAGUAACUAUGCACGUCUUGACGGUACCUAAUCAGAAAGCCACGGCUAACUACG